This 253-nucleotide ribosomal RNA is filed under the name uncultured bacterium. RNAcentral's name for it is "partial 16S ribosomal RNA". It matches the Rfam family "Bacterial small subunit ribosomal RNA", at positions 524 to 776 of the family's 1533-position model. The record is from RNAcentral.
GACGUAGGGCGCGAGCGUUGUCCGGAUUUAUUGGGCGUAAAGAGCUCGUAGGCGGCUUGUCGCGUCGACUGUGAAAACUUGGGGCUCAACCCCAAGCUUGCAGUCGAUACGGGCAGGCUAGAGUUCGGUAGGGGAGACUGGAAUUCCUGGUGUAGCGGUGAAAUGCGCAGAUAUCAGGAGGAACACCGGUGGCGAAGGCGGCUAUCUGGACGACAACUGACGCUGAGGCGCGAAAGCGUGGGGAUCAAACAGG